Molecule: ribosomal RNA, 449 nt
Filed under: uncultured bacterium
Lineage: Bacteria
Description: partial 16S ribosomal RNA
Rfam family: Bacterial small subunit ribosomal RNA
Source: RNAcentral
AUUGAACGCUGGCGGCAUGCCUAACACAUGCAAGUCGAACGAGAUCUUCGGGUCUAGUGGCGCACGGGUGCGUAACGCGUGGGAAUCUGCCCUUUGGUUCGGAAUAACAGUUGGAAACGACUGCUAAUACCGGAUGAUGACGAAAGUCCAAAGAUUUAUCGCCAGAGGAUGAGCCCGCGUAGGAUUAGCUAGUUGGUGUGGUAAAGGCGCACCAAGGCGACGAUCCUUAGCUGGUCUGAGAGGAUGAUCAGCCACACUGGGACUGAGACACGGCCCAGACUCCUACGGGAGGCAGCAGUGGGGAAUAUUGGACAAUGGGCGAAAGCCUGAUCCAGCAAUGCCGCGUGAGUGAUGAAGGCCUUAGGGUUGUAAAGCUCUUUUACCCGGGAUGAUAAUGACAGUACCGGGAGAAUAAGCUCCGGCUAACUCCGUGCCAGCAGCCGCCGUAA